GGAGUUAGCCGGUGCUUCUUCUGUGAGUGAUGUCCUUCCUGCCGGCUAUUAACCCGCAGGCCUUCUUCCUCACUGAAAGUGCUUUACAACCCGAAGGCCUUCUUCACACACGCGGCAUGGCUGGAUCAGGGUUGCCCCCAUUGUCCAAUAUUCCCCACUGCUGCCUCCCGUAGGAGUCUGGGCCGUGUCUCAGUCCCAGUGUGGCUGAUCAUCCUCUCAGACCAGCUACGGAUCGUCGCCUUGGUGAGCCGUUACCUCACCAACCAGCUAAUCCGACAUAGGCUCAUCCGAUAGCGCGAGGCCCGAAGGUCCCCCGNUUUCCCCCGUAGGGCGUAUGCGGUAUUAGCCUGGGUUUCCCCAGGUUAUCCCCCACUACCGGGCAGAUUCCUAUGCAUUACUCACCCGUCCGCCGCUCGCCACCAGGGAGCAAGCUCCCCGUGCUGCCGCUCGACUUGCAUGUGUUAGGCCUGCCGCCACGCGUCAUCUGAGCGAGAUACAACUACUGA
Molecule: ribosomal RNA, 506 nt
Filed under: uncultured bacterium
Lineage: Bacteria
Description: partial 16S ribosomal RNA
Source: RNAcentral